Molecule: ribosomal RNA, 492 nt
Filed under: uncultured bacterium
Lineage: Bacteria
Description: partial 16S ribosomal RNA
Rfam family: Bacterial small subunit ribosomal RNA
Source: RNAcentral
AGUGAACGCUGGCGGUAGGCCUAACACAUGCAAGUCGAACGGCAGCACAGUAAGAGCUUGCUCUUACGGGUGGCGAGUGGCGGACGGGUGCGGAAUACAUCGGAAUCUACUUUUUCGUGGGGGAUAACGUAGGGAUACUUACGCUAAUACCGCAUACGACCUACGUGUGAAAGCAAGGGAUCUUCGGACCUUGCGCGAUACAAUGAGCCGAUGUCGGGUUCGCUAGUUCGAGUGGCAAAGGCCCACCAAGGCGACGAUCCGUAGCUAGUCUGAGAGGAUGAUCAGCCACACUGGAACUGAGACACGGCCCAGACUCCUACGGGAGGCAGCAGUGGGGAAUAUUGGACAAUGGGGGCGAGCCUGAUCCAGCCAUACCGCGUGAGUGAAGAAGGCCUUCGGGUUGUAAAGCCCUUUUGUUGGGAAAGAAAAGCAGCAGGUUAAUACCCCGCUGUUCUGACGGUACCAAAAGAAUAAGCCCCGGCUAACUUCGUG